CCUACGGGCGGCAGCAGUGAGGAAUAUUGGUCAAUGGACGAGAGUCUGAACCAGCCAAGUAGCGUGAAGGAUGACUGCCCUAUGGGUUGUAAACUUCUUUUAUAAGGGAAUAAAACGAGGCACGUGUGCCUUUUUGCAUGUACUUUAUGAAUAAGGAUCGGCUAACUCAGUGCAAGCAGCCGCGGUAAUACGGAGGUUCCGAGCGUUGUCCGGAUUUAUUGGGUUUAAAGGGAGCGUAGAUGGUUUGUUAAGUCAGUGGGGAAAGUUUGCGGCUCAACCGGAAAAGUGCAAUUGAUACUGGCAGUCUUGAGUACAGGAGAGGUAAGCGGAAUUCGUGGUGUAGCGGUGAAAUGCUUAGAUAUCACGAAGAACCCCGAUUGCGAAGGCAGCUUACUAAACUGUGACUGACACUGAUGCUCGAAAGUGUGGGUAUCAAACAGGAUUAGAUACCCCGGUAGUC
This 460-nucleotide ribosomal RNA is filed under the name uncultured bacterium. RNAcentral's name for it is "partial 16S ribosomal RNA". It matches the Rfam family "Bacterial small subunit ribosomal RNA", at positions 338 to 795 of the family's 1533-position model. The record is from RNAcentral.